UGACCGCCACAGCUCCGAGGUGCCCCGAGGUCGCGAGACCGACGGGAGAAUCUGGGAAGCCGGUGAGAGUCCGGCACAGGCCCGCUGCGGUGACCCGGGCGAUGCGCGAGCGUCGACCCGGGAAGUCCGAAGACCGGCCUCGGGGUUCCUUUCCGA
This 156-nucleotide non-coding RNA is filed under the name Nocardioides sp. The record is from RNAcentral. Lineage: Bacteria; Bacillati; Actinomycetota; Actinomycetes; Propionibacteriales; Nocardioidaceae.